This 31-nucleotide non-coding RNA is filed under the name Homo sapiens (human). The record is from RNAcentral. Lineage: Eukaryota; Metazoa; Chordata; Mammalia; Primates; Hominidae.
UGGUGAUCACAGGGUUCAAACAGUGUCCUCU